Molecule: ribosomal RNA, 253 nt
Filed under: uncultured bacterium
Lineage: Bacteria
Description: partial 16S ribosomal RNA
Rfam family: Bacterial small subunit ribosomal RNA
Source: RNAcentral
UACGUAGGUGGCAAGCGUUGUCCGGAUUUAUUGGGUUUAAAGGGUGCGUAGGCGGCCCUGUAAGUCAGUGCUGAAAUAUCCCGGCUUAACCGGGAGGGUGGCAUUGAUACUGUAGGGCUUGAGUAAAGUUGAGGUUGGCGGAAUUGACGGUGUAGCGGUGAAAUGCUUAGAUAUCGUCAAGAACACCGAUAGUGAAGACAGCUAACUAAGCUUUAACUGACGCUGAGGCACGAAAGUGUGGGGAUCAAACAGG